This 1127-nucleotide long non-coding RNA is filed under the name Callithrix jacchus (white-tufted-ear marmoset). RNAcentral's name for it is "lncRNA (ENSCJAG00000077561.1)". The record is from RNAcentral. Lineage: Eukaryota; Metazoa; Chordata; Mammalia; Primates; Cebidae.
UUUCCUCUUCUAAUUUCCAAAUGGUACUUUAAAAUAAAGUAUUGCAAUUCUGCUUUGUGGUGAGAAAAAUGUACCUUGUAUAAUUUUCACUCUUUGAAUUAAAUGAGUUUUAUUUAUUUUUUAUUUUUUGCAGAUGAUUAUGCUAUCCGGUGAUGGAAAUGGUAAAUGGGCAUAGUUCCCACUUUCUUCACAGAGUAGAAUACAGAAGUUGGAAAGGAACCCCGACCUUGUUCUUCAGUUGUAACUUCUUGGAUCUUUGAAUUUGAGGACAUGUGGAGAGAAAUAGCAAAGAUUUCUAUCUUUUUGUUUUUGGUGGUUUCUGUUUCAUGAUAUAAGCUGGAAUGUGCUUUUGCACAGGAACAGCAAUUCAUUUCAAAGUACAGACCGGUGCCAACAGGGGAGAGUGGGCAGAGAAAUCAAAUGAAAAUGCCAAAACACUGAGUACACAGCAAGUUUGCAUCAUGUGAACCACUUUGGACCCUGAGGACAGAAACCAAAAAUAUGCUCCUGUUCAGAGGCGGCUAAGAGCAUCAAUUACUAGUGUUAUUACUGUUAUCAUCACCAUCACCAACAACAUUCUUCUCAUAAAUUUAAAGGUGGGUAGCUGGACUGUGUAUUUUCCUAGGAGUUCUGCAUGAAGUUAAGGGCUAUGAUGAAUUUUAAACAAAUAAUUGUGGAGAUAUGUGUGGCCCCAUAACCCCUCAGUUGGAACCACAGUUUUUAGCUCUCCUGCCCCCAUUGUUCAGUUCAGCCUUGUUAUCACUGUGAGAACAAUUUUCCACACCCAGGGCUUGUUCUAACAGUAAAGAAUCCAAGAAAAUAAUGUGUAAAGUAAACUGAUGUUUAAGAAUACUGUGGGAGGUCGAGGUGGGUGGGUGGAUCACGAGGUCAAGAGAUUGAGACCAUCCUGGCCAACAUGGUGAAAACCCAUCUCUACUAAAAAAUACAAAAAUUAGUUGGGCAUGAUGGUGCGCACCUGUAGUCCCAGCUACUCUGGAGGCUGAGACAGGAGAAUUGCUUGAACCCAAGAGGUGGAGGUUGUGGUGAGCUGAGAUCGUGCCAGUGCACUCCAGCCUGGCGACAGAGCGAGACUCCAUCUUAAAAAAAAAAAAAAUUCUGGAGGGAAU